UAGGUGGGGAAACUGAGGCAAAGGGUGUUUAAAUGGUCUGCCCAAAGUCACACAGCUAAGAAGCAGUGAUGGGAUAUGAAGUCAAACAGUCUUAAAAGCAAGCUAUCCUGUUGCAAAAUAGAAAUUAGUUGAUAACGUCUUCCAGGAGACCUACGGCCAUCCUACUGAUAUGAACCAGAUCAUACCUGCCCUGAUGGGAUGCCAGAGAAAGACUGCUGCAAGUAGGGAUCCUCUGGAAACAGAACAGAGGGAAGAAGAUACCUUCCCUGAAGCCCAGAUGUUCCAGAAGCCUGCGCCUCAUUCACAAAGUCACCCCAAAAAUGCCCUAGAGUUUGGAGUUUUGAAGAAGCGGGAAGAAGGCCUGAGUAAGGGCCUGGGAACCAAGUUAGAUCCUACUUCAGCAUCAGCACAUGCCAGCGAUGGUGCACACAGGUAUAAAACAGCAUGAAGAAAA
RNAcentral lists this long non-coding RNA (454 nucleotides) under Homo sapiens (human). RNAcentral's name for it is "non-protein coding LINC02056:43". Lineage: Eukaryota; Metazoa; Chordata; Mammalia; Primates; Hominidae. The record is from RNAcentral.